Ruditapes philippinarum (Manila clam) is the source of this 1494-nucleotide long non-coding RNA. RefSeq lists it as uncharacterized. The record is from RefSeq and is a predicted model, not a curated record. Lineage: Eukaryota; Metazoa; Mollusca; Bivalvia; Venerida; Veneridae. The transcript has 4 exons.
GUAUUGGUAUGUUCUUCUUAUUCCGCUUAUCUCAUUCAAGCAAUGCCAUCACAAGGACACUGUGGAAACUGAAAUUGACAUUAGCCGAUAUUGCGGCUUUUGAGUGCGCAUGGUCGGAAUUGCUAACGUAUAUGGUUAGGCUUUCUUAUGAAACGUCUUUAUUGAGAAGAAGAAAAAAGAAAGGAGAGUUAUUGGAUUAGUUGGCAGAUAUUUUGUAUGAAAAUUGCCAGAAAUGUAAUGGCGUUUCUCUCUGGAAUUUAGCAAUACAGUGAUAUACGGAAUAAAGAAAUAAAAGGAAUAAACGUUUGGAUAGGAAAUGUGAAAAUAAAACUAGUGUACUUAAUUGUACAAUUAAUUUCAACAAACUGUAAAUGAAAAGAUUUUUAUUUGAUACUGAUAGAUCAUCUCGAUUGAUUUCAAUCUCGUUCAAAUCGUUUUCUUGAAAGACUGGCUACGAUUUCAAGAGGAGUGUUAGGGAUGGAGAAGGAAGACUUAAAGCGACAAGUGGAGAUGUUACGGAUCCAUAAGGACUUACAGCGAAUGUUUGUCUCUGACGCAGUGAAAGACAUGAUUUGCUUCAUUGACCAAAAUAUAAACGAAGAUGGUCUAAUAGUGCCUCCUGACAAGAAGAAGAACCCCUGGGAUAAUUCAAGAAAGUGUUCAAUACUGUGAAGUGAGACAGUUUUGUAAAUAUGAAAGGUCGCCCUUUUUGUAAUCAAUUAUCAUGUACAAAUGAGUUAGAAUAUAUGUGUGUAUAGAGUUUUAUAGAAAUUGUGUUGUAUUUAUUAUAAUCAGUAAUUCAUAUAGACCAUUAGCUUAAUUUUGUAGUGCCGAAAAUUCAGAGAGAAAAACAUCUUAUAUUUAUAUUUGACUAAAUUUCGAUGCCCUGACAGAGUUGAACAGUUGUAAAAUUUUCAAGCAUAUUAAAUUUUAUUGUUAAAAAUGUUAAAACGAUACCACAUUUUAAAACGAAACCAUUUGUUAAACGAUAUCUUAUUUACUAGAACGACUCUAUUUGAUCUAACUUUAUUAUAAUGUAUAAACAAUCACUUCGUCUGAUCUUGCUUCACUUGAUAUCACGUAACCAUAUGAGAUUAUUAGUGUAUUUUACAGUUACCAACUGAAAAUAGAAAAUGAAACUGUUUUCAGAAAAUUGUAGAAGUGUUAAAUUGUAAUGUUAUUCUAACAAUGUACUAAUAUAUAUCGUACUAAUUGUUCACAUAACAUCAUUUUCUUUAAAAAAAUCUUUUUACCAAUAUUCUUAAGAUGUAUAAUUACAGUUAUUUCCAUUUAUAUAUUUUGAAUCUGAGAGAAUUCGUUGAAGGUUGAUAUCAGCAAGUCUCGAAGGAAAUAAAUCAAUUUUAAACAUAAUUUGAACAGACUGUUUGUUUUGCCUUUAAUACCUUUCGGUUGAAUUACUUCAUUCUCACAAUUAAUUUGAUUAUCUUACAAAAUGCAUUUGAAUUCUGUCUGUAAUCAAAUAUGUACACGAUU